GAGAGAUGGCUCAGUGGUUAAGAGCACUGACUGCUCUUCCAGAGGUCCUGAGUUCAAUUCCCAGCAAGCACUUG
RNAcentral lists this transfer RNA (74 nucleotides) under Mus musculus (house mouse). RNAcentral's name for it is "tRNA-Ser". The record is from RNAcentral. Lineage: Eukaryota; Metazoa; Chordata; Mammalia; Rodentia; Muridae.